AGUGAACGCUGGCGAUAGGCCUAACACAUGCAAGUCGAACGGCAGCACAGUAGGAGCUUGCUCUUACGGGUGGCGAGUGGCGGACGGGUGAGGAAUACAUCGGAAUCUACUUUUUCGUGGGGGAUAACGUAGGGAAACUUACGCUAAUACCGCAUACGACCUACGGGUGAAAGCAGGGGAUCUUCGGACCUUGCGCGAUUGAAUGAGCCGAUGUCGGAUUAGCUAGUUGGCGGGGUAAAGGCCCACCAAGGCGACGAUCCGUAGCUGGUCUGAGAGGAUGAUCAGCCACACUGGAACUGAGACACGGUCCAGACUCCUACGGGAGGCAGCAGUGGGGAAUAUUGGACAAUGGGCGCAAGCCUGAUCCAGCCAUACCGCGUGGGUGAAGAAGGCCUUCGGGUUGUAAAGCCCUUUUGUUGGGAAAGAAAAGCAGCAGGUUAAUACCCCGCUGUUCUGACGGUACCCAAAGAAUAAGCACCGGCUAACUUCGUG
This 492-nucleotide ribosomal RNA is filed under the name uncultured bacterium. Its description in RNAcentral is "partial 16S ribosomal RNA". It matches the Rfam family "Bacterial small subunit ribosomal RNA", at positions 29 to 507 of the family's 1533-position model. The record is from RNAcentral.